This 497-nucleotide ribosomal RNA is filed under the name uncultured bacterium. RNAcentral describes it as "partial 16S ribosomal RNA". It matches the Rfam family "Bacterial small subunit ribosomal RNA", at positions 28 to 507 of the family's 1533-position model. The record is from RNAcentral.
GAUGAACGCUGGCGGCGUGCCUAAUACAUGCAAGUCGAGCGAACAGACGAGGAGCUUGCUCCUCUGACGUUAGCGGCGGACGGGUGAGUAACACGUGGAUAACCUACCUAUAAGACUGGGAUAACUUCGGGAAACCGGAGCUAAUACCGGAUAAUAUAUUGAACCGCAUGGUUCAAUAGUGAAAGACGGUUUUGCUGUCACUUAUAGAUGGAUCCGCGCCGCAUUAGCUAGUUGGUAAGGUAACGGCUUACCAAGGCAACGAUGCGUAGCCGACCUGAGAGGGUGAUCGGCCACACUGGAACUGAGACACGGUCCAGACUCCUACGGGAGGCAGCAGUAGGGAAUCUUCCGCAAUGGGCGAAAGCCUGACGGAGCAACGCCGCGUGAGGGAUGAAGGUCUUCGGAUCGUAAAACUCUGUUAGUAGGGAAGAACAAAUGUGUAAGUAACUAUGCACGUCUUGACGGUACCUAAUCAGAAAGCCACGGCUAACUACGUG